This 756-nucleotide long non-coding RNA is filed under the name Aquilegia coerulea. Its description in RNAcentral is "long non-coding RNA (ACOE_LNC001687)". Lineage: Eukaryota; Viridiplantae; Streptophyta; Magnoliopsida; Ranunculales; Ranunculaceae. The record is from RNAcentral.
AACAAAUGAUUUUGAUUUGAACAAUUGGUUUCUCAGCUAGUGUAUCUGCAAAAUUAAACAUGGUCUAACAACGAUAUUCGACGUUAUGGUAACUUUCAACACAAAACUGGCAUAUCACUUUAUUUGGCUAAAUGCAGUGGGAAUGUGUCAAAACAACAAUGAAGAAGAUCAUAAUGCUUCUGUUAGCACAUAUAUGUCAAAGAGAUGUUAAUCAGCAGUUAACUACUUAACCCAUCAACUUCUGUCGGUAAAAAACAAAAACAAAUCAAAGAGAUUACAAGACCGCUUUGGUGAUAGUGGUUGUGACGUAUGAAUCUGUGAGGUGGAGGUGGUGAUGGUGUCAACCGUCAGUGGAAGAUGUAGUGAUACCAGAUGUUACCACCAAACUUUUCGAUAAGUUGGAUUUGAGAGGAUAGAUCAUUAUAAGUUAUAACACAAAUUCCUGUCAACCAUAAAAAAAAAAUAAAAAUAAAAAAUAAAAAUAAAUAAUUAUGUUUUAAAUUUCAAAAGACAACAUAAAUUUAAUCAAUAUCAUUAAAGUUUUCAAAGAAAACUCACCCUUCUUAGUUCUUACUCCAAAGCUACACUCUUGGAACAUUAUACAAAUUAAAAGGAUGGAGGAAGAAAAAGAUCAAAAAUGAAAGAAGAAAGAUAGAGCAGAAGUAAACUGCAACCAAUCUACACCAUAUAUAAUCUCCAACCUGCUUUCAUUGACUCUUUCUUUUCAAGCUUCAUGCAUGAGUUUUUGUUAUGCUC